GAUGAACGCUGGCGGCGUGCCUAAUACAUGCAAGUCGAGCGAACAGACGAGGAGCUUGCGCCUCUGACGUGAGCGGCGGACGGGUGAGUAACACGUGGAUAACCUACCUAUAAGACUGGGAUCACCUCGGGAAACCGGAGCUAAUACCGGAGAAUAUAUUGAACCGCAUGGUUGAUUAGUGAAAGACGGUUGUGCUGUCUCUUAUAGAUGCAUCUGCGCCGCAUUAGCUAGUUGGUAAGGUAACGGCUUACCAAGGCGACGAUGCGUAGCCGACGUGAGAGGGUGGUCGGCCGCCCUGGAAGUGAGACACGGUCCAGACUCCUGCGGGAGGCAGCAGUCGGGUAUCUUCCGCAAUGGGCGAGAACCUUACGCAGCAGCGCCGCGUGUGUGAUAGAGAUCUUCGGUUCGUAAUACUCUCUUAUUAGGGAAAAACCAAUGUGUCAGUAACUAUGCCCGUCUUGACGGUACCUAGUCAGAAAGCCACGGCUAACUACGUG
Molecule: ribosomal RNA, 497 nt
Filed under: uncultured bacterium
Lineage: Bacteria
Description: partial 16S ribosomal RNA
Rfam family: Bacterial small subunit ribosomal RNA
Source: RNAcentral